This 19-nucleotide non-coding RNA is filed under the name Arabidopsis thaliana (thale cress). The record is from RNAcentral. Lineage: Eukaryota; Viridiplantae; Streptophyta; Magnoliopsida; Brassicales; Brassicaceae.
AUCAUUGCAAUUGUUGGUC